AGCAGAGGAUGCAUCUUGGUCCAGCCUGGAAAUAGAGCCAGUUUCUCAGGUCUCUGGGUCUGUAGCCUGGGAGUCUGAGCUGGUGAUCUGACUCUGACAAUGUGCAUGUGAAAGCCCAGUCCACGCUGCACAAGACAGUGAACCAUCAGAGGCCCAGCAGUUGCUCCUAGUAAUAUUGAAUAUCUUCAGUUCAGGAAAAACAACUUAGAAGAAGUUAACUUUCCAGUAAGGCCUGAAAGGAGCCUGUAAGGGUCAGGACCUUGGAAAAGAGAAGAGGAAAUCUGAGCUUUUCAAGAGAAAUUUUGUUAACAUACGUUUAUUUCAGUGGUCAUUCAAAGACAUUAGAGCUACUGUAGAACAAAAGUCCCCAAAAGUUUCUCUCUCAGCAAAGACCAAGCCUACAGCUUAGAAAGUUAAAAUUAAAGGAUGUAAAAUCAAAAUUUAUUUCAGAGUUCUCAUAGCACCUUAUGUGUAACUUUUACUUGUGUGUAACUUCCACAGGCAUAAUAAAAUAUUAAUGUUAUGAUUUGUACCAGGAUGCAUAGCAGGUUUUUCUAGCUUCACAGAGUUCAAGAAGGAAACCAUUAGAGCUUCUAGUCAGGAUCAUAAACCCAGUGCAGUAGGAGAAUUAUUUUUUAGGUUAGCUUAGUCAGACAUCGAAGUAGGACCUAUUUUUACUGUUUAGCAUGAAGAGAUGCCUUCUGUAAGUAGGGGUUAAGGUGAAGUGGAACAUCCACAAGCAUAACAUCUCACUUCCUUAAAAAAAAAAACCCUACUGGAGAAUACGGUUACUCUACAUGCCCUUUUCUUGCCUUAGCAUAUUGCUAAUGUUGCAUUG
Long non-coding RNA from Athene cunicularia (burrowing owl), 838 nucleotides. RefSeq lists it as uncharacterized. Lineage: Eukaryota; Metazoa; Chordata; Aves; Strigiformes; Strigidae. The record is from RefSeq and is a predicted model, not a curated record. The transcript is spliced from 3 exons.